GCCCGAGUGGCCGAGCGGUUCUAGGCGCUACAGUUUGGAACCGCGCGACCGCUACGGUCGCAGGUUCGAAUCCUGCCUCGGGCA
Molecule: transfer RNA, 84 nt
Filed under: Schistocerca americana (American grasshopper)
Lineage: Eukaryota; Metazoa; Arthropoda; Insecta; Orthoptera; Acrididae
Description: tRNA-Pro
Rfam family: tRNA
About the family: Transfer RNA (tRNA) molecules are approximately 80 nucleotides in length. Their secondary structure includes four short double-helical elements and three loops (D, anti-codon, and T loops).
Source: RNAcentral